UGAAUAUGGCGUCGCCGGGCUCGUCAACAUCGCCUGCCGGUGCAAGUCCACCGCGUUCCGUGAAGCCAGCCGCCGCGCAGCUGUGGCAAGAUUUGUCGAACGAAAAGCUGUCCACGCAGGCCAAGAAAGCCGUGCACAACGCUUACGCAAAAGUGUGCAAAAGCUACCCGCAGCGGUCUAUCACAGACGCUUGUCGGAAGGUGAGCGAGUUGACUGGAGUUAGCGAACGCAUUGUGUACCGGAUUAAGCGCGACGUACAGUGUGGCACCUUGAAUUCACCGAAGCGCAAAUGGCCGUGUCUCCCAGCCGCACACAGCAAUGCUGGAACCGGAAGACCAAACCUCCACUAUCACGAUAGUUUAUCCCUCGCCGUUCUACGAAGAAAAAUGCACCAGUAUUUCAUGCGAAAUGAAAUUCCGACAGCAGCAAAACUUGCUCGAGAUGUGACCAGUGAUAAUGACAUGUAUAUGCCUAAAAUGAGUGUACGUGCAAUUCAAUGGCUGCUCAGAAACACUGGAUCUUCUUUUCGCAAAUCGAAAAAAAACUUUGCUUUCAAGAGAUCAUCUUGUGGCGGCGGCAGUGCAUGCGUACCAUCCGGGAACUUCGCACCCAAAAGCGGCACAUAUACUACCUUGACAAGACAUGUGUCAACGCUGGACAUACCAAGGAAAAGGUCUGGGAGGACGUGAACGUUACACGCGAGGAUGAGUUUCGGGAAGGGCUCACAACAGGCCUUCGCGCACCCAGCGGCAAAGGUGGCAGGCUGAUCCUAUUGCACGAAGAUAGCGAGGAUGGCUUCGUAAAUGGUGCUUGCCUCGUCUUCCGAGCAGCGAAAGCAGCUGGUGACUGCCACAAAUAAAUGGUUGGGCCACGGU
Dermacentor andersoni is the source of this 875-nucleotide long non-coding RNA. RefSeq lists it as uncharacterized. The record is from RefSeq and is a predicted model, not a curated record. NCBI's taxonomy places the organism in Eukaryota, Metazoa, Arthropoda, Arachnida, Ixodida, Ixodidae.